RNAcentral lists this transfer RNA (73 nucleotides) under Canis lupus familiaris (dog). It matches the Rfam family "tRNA". Rfam says of the family: Transfer RNA (tRNA) molecules are approximately 80 nucleotides in length. Their secondary structure includes four short double-helical elements and three loops (D, anti-codon, and T loops). The record is from Rfam by way of RNAcentral. Lineage: Eukaryota; Metazoa; Chordata; Mammalia; Carnivora; Canidae. RNAcentral also lists the same sequence under 1 other name.
ACCUGGCUGGCUCAGUCAGAAAAGCAUGUGACUCUUGAUCUCGGGGUUGUGAGUUCGAGUCCCACACUAGGUG